ACCUUUCCCCUCCUCCCUCCUGCAGUCUAGCCACCCUAUGAAAAUUAUUUAAUAGGCAGAGUGGUACCUUAAUCCAAGAAAGAUUUGGAGCCACUUGCAGUAACUUUUUCUUUUCCCAGAUAAAGUUCUAAUACUCAAAAAAGAAGAGUUGAUUUAAGUCCCAUAUCCUUCAGGAAUGAGGUAUAGGAUAUAAAUAAAUUCAAAGUACCACAUUCUAAGAUAUUUCACUAAACAUUGGAAUGAAUUUUUCCCCUUUAUGUACUUUAAAAUAUAGAAAAUAUGCAGUUAUGACUAGAAAUAGCUGUAAUAUUGUACCUGCAGAGUUGAGUAUCUCACUAGUAUAAUUUAUAAUUAUAACCUAUUCUGAUUUCUUUUCAAAUAUUAGGUGUCCUAGUUGCCUAUGAAGGUUUGCCACUUCAUCUUGCACUGUUCCCCAAACUUUGGACUGAGCUAUGCCAGACUCAGUCUGCUAUGUCAAAAAACUGCAUCAAGCUUUU
Molecule: small RNA, 497 nt
Filed under: Pan troglodytes (chimpanzee)
Lineage: Eukaryota; Metazoa; Chordata; Mammalia; Primates; Hominidae
Description: retained intron
Source: RNAcentral